This 77-nucleotide transfer RNA is filed under the name Candidatus Bathyarchaeota archaeon. Its description in RNAcentral is "tRNA-Asn". It matches the Rfam family "tRNA". Rfam says of the family: Transfer RNA (tRNA) molecules are approximately 80 nucleotides in length. The record is from RNAcentral. RNAcentral also lists the same sequence under 1 other name. Lineage: Archaea; Thermoproteati; Candidatus Bathyarchaeota.
GCCGCCGUAGCUCAGUUAGGUAGAGCAACUGGCUGUUAACCAGUAGGUCGACGGUUCGAGUCCGUCCGGCGGCGCCA